UUCUCCCUUGUCUCUUUCAACGUACAAGCUGUUGCUUUCUCUUCCCUUGAACGUGCAACUUCUAUUUCAGCUCCCCCUUGGACGACAAAGCAGCGGCUGAACAGCAAGGUCUCGAGCGUUCCUCCCUCCUCAAGAAAAUCCGAGACUUUGUGUGCUGCUGUGGUGGUCGCUCAACGACACCUCUAGCCGUUGUGCCGGGUCCAAAUCAUCGUAAAAAACUUCCAGGGCUGUCCUUGUGUUGCCGUUCGGCCACAAGUGAGGAUCGUCAUUAGUUUUGGUGGUGAGUUGUCUUCUAAAUCUAGACUAGGGGUUGAGUACCUCUAUUAGGAAUUCAUACAAGUUAAAAAUAUGUAGAUGGCGUUAGAUAUGGAUGGAUGUUGGUUAGGGAUGUUAUGAUAGCCAUAAAAAAUCUUAGAUAGGGUUUAGAGAGCAAGAUAAAUGUUGUGGAAGAAGAUUCAGACUAGAACAGUAGCUGAUUUCUGAAACAGUUUCCAGGACGUGUGUUUUGCUAAUUUCGUAGACAACUGUGUGUUGGGAUUUUGAAGGAAUUUUAUUCUGAAGAAAAGUUUGGGACAUCCUAAAUAGUAACAUUUAUUUUUCUUAGAAUUUUUAGAAAUUAAAAAGAUGACGAUUUUAAUGACGUCAUCCUCGGAACAGUAAUUCGGACAGUUUUGUAACUCCUGACCUGUUAUGAUUCAGAGGGUUGUUACUGACCUUUCGAGAUCGAAUUUCCAAUCGGUUUCUUCAUGAAAGUUGUUCAUUAUAAUUUUUAGUUUAACAUACUUGAAUUUCAAAUCAAACGGACUAGAUUUCGACCCAAAAAAGAACCGAUUUCGAUGAGUUAGGUUCUUUGGAACUGGACCCGAUUUUUGUGUUGGAUAGAGAGAAUUUCUGGGCCGAAUCCAGAGGGAUAUGGAUCUUGGUGUCUUCAUGAAAAAUGUUCUUUUACAUGUCCUUUACAACAUAUUCGAAUUUGGGAAUUUUCCGAGCUCGAUUGGUUAGGUUUCUGGAUUUAAAUUUGGAGACGCGCGAAGGCCUGGUUUCUGUAAAUUAGAACUAAUUUUAGUUUGAUGAUGGUUCUUGAUGCUUUGCUUGCUUUAAUUAGUGUUUUAAUGACUUGCGGAUUUAAUUUAUUAGUUAUUGAACUCUGAAAUUUCACUGUUCGUGAUGCACUGUUCACGUGCACUAUUCACCGAGAAUGAAAAGUGGUCUAAUUUCAUGUGUAUUGAUUUUAUGAAGUGAAUGGAUGUGUAAAGGCAUGGGUAUCCGCAUGAAUUGGGUGAUGUUUUGUGCUAUUGUAUGGUGAUUGAAAACUGUUGGUAUUUAAUUAUAAAAUACCGGGUAUCAUGUUUUGGACGCCGAAAGUGUUUUUAAAUACUAUACCAAACUGUAAGAUUUUAAAAGAGAUGACACAAAUUUUCUGGUUUGAUCUGACCGUGUCCCCACACACGAUUAUUUUACUAUGCAUUUCUAAUAUGAAGAAAAUAGGUCGGGAUCAUCAUUUUAAUUGAGGUAUUUGAGUGCAAUGCACGGUAUCCUGGGCUGAAGUUGAAUAAAUGUAUGAAUGAUAUGAAAUGCCGUCACAAGCUUUUGGGGCCCGAUGCUCCUUCGGGAAUGCCCCACGUCAACGGAUGCCGGUCGCAGUGGAGGCUGGACCGAUGCUCUUAUAUGGAAUGCUGUCUAGAUAUAGACAAUGCCGCGCUCGACGGUGCGAGGCGAUGCCCGGUUAUGCCAGAAGACUGUUAUCUGAAUAUUGAAAUCAUUUGUGACACAUGAAUUGGUGAAAGUGAUGGGCCUAAUUAAAAGACGGAACUGUGUGAUGGGGUAUGGGACGUGCCAUAACGGUUUAGUUUGGUAAUUGGGGACCCGUGUAAUUAUGUGACAUUUAUGUCCUUACAUAUGUACAUGUUAAAAGUAUUCUGAUGAUAUAUGAUCUCGAUAUCUCAUGUAUGAUUUGAUUGACACUAACAUGCAAGAAUGUACUAGUAUUAAGAAAGUAUGAGAAACAUGAUUAGAUUGCAUGUAGGAUGUACUCUUCGCCUAAUCUGGAAUUAGGGGAUUUACUCGCUGAGAUGUGAUCUUACCCCUUAGUGGGCUAACAUUUUUCAGGUCUCUACAUGGAGGAAUGCCGGGUCGUGUACAGUUAGUCGCAGUAAAAGAGCAAUAAGAUUGGAUGUAGGGUGAUGGCUCACUCCUGAGAAAUUGAGAAGUAUGGUAUUGUAGUAGUAAACCCCAGUCUUAUAGAUAGAAGCUUAGUUAGUGGGUAAUUGAACAGCUUCACUUUUUGUAUCAGACCUUGGGGUGUUAAACUGGUCUAUAUGUAUAAGUACUGUGAUGUUGUAGGUGUGGCUUGUGAAAAAUAAUAUCCUACGUUUCUAUCCCACUAUUUUGUUGUA
This 2396-nucleotide long non-coding RNA is filed under the name Eucalyptus grandis. RNAcentral describes it as "long non-coding RNA (EGRA_LNC004481)". The record is from RNAcentral. Lineage: Eukaryota; Viridiplantae; Streptophyta; Magnoliopsida; Myrtales; Myrtaceae.